This 253-nucleotide ribosomal RNA is filed under the name uncultured bacterium. RNAcentral's name for it is "partial 16S ribosomal RNA". It matches the Rfam family "Bacterial small subunit ribosomal RNA", at positions 524 to 776 of the family's 1533-position model. The record is from RNAcentral.
UACGUAGGGGGCAAGCGUUAUCCGGAUUCACUGGGCGUAAAGGGAGCGCAGGCGGCACGGCAAGUCUGAUGUGAAAGCCCGGGGCUCAACCCCGGGACUGCAUUGGAAACUGCCGGGCUGGAGUGUCGGAGGGGUAAGCGGAAUUCCUAGUGUAGCGGUGAAAUGCGUAGAUAUUAGGAGGAACACCAGUGGCGAAGGCGGCUUACUGGACGAUCACUGACGCUGAGGCUCGAAAGCGUGGGGAGCAAACAGG